ACGAACGCUGGCGCGUGCUAUACAUGCAAGUAGAACGCUGAAGGAGGAGCUUGCUCUUCUGGAUGAGUUGCGAACGGGUGAGUCACGCGUAGGUAACCUGCCUGGUAGCGGGGGAUAACUAUUGGAAACGAUAGCUAAUACCGCAUAACAGUAGAUGUCGCAUGACAUUUGCUUAAAAGGUGCAAUUGCAUCACUACCAGAUGGACCUGCGUUGUAUUAGCUAGUUGGUGAGGUAACGGCUCACCAAGGCAACGAUACAUAGCCGACCUGAGAGGGUGAUCGGCCACACUGGGACUGAGACACGGCCCAGACUCCUACGGGAGGCAGCAGUAGGGAAUCUUCGGCAAUGGACGGAAGUCUGACCGAGCAACGCCGCGUGAGUGAAGAAGGUUUUCGGAUCGUAAAGCUCUGUUGUAAGAGAAGAACAGUGUGAGAGUGGAAAGUUCACACUGUGACGGUAUCUUACC
RNAcentral lists this ribosomal RNA (467 nucleotides) under Streptococcus sp. oral taxon 064. Its description in RNAcentral is "bacterial SSU rRNA". It matches the Rfam family "Bacterial small subunit ribosomal RNA", at positions 29 to 484 of the family's 1533-position model. The record is from RNAcentral. Lineage: Bacteria; Bacillati; Bacillota; Bacilli; Lactobacillales; Streptococcaceae.